UGGGGAAUAUUGGACAAUGGGCGAAAGCCUGAUCCAGCAAUGCCGCGUGAGUGAUGAAGGCCUUAGGGUUGUAAAGCUCUUUUACCCGGGAUGAUAAUGACAGUACCGGGAGAAUAAGCCCCGGCUAACUCCGUGCCAGCAGCCGCGGUAAUACGGAGGGGGCUAGCGUUGUUCGGAAUUACUGGGCGUAAAGCGUACGUAGGCGGCUUUGUAAGUUAGAGGUGAAAGCCCGGGGCUCAACUCCGGAAUUGCCUUUAAGACUGCAUCGCUUGAAUCAUGGAGAGGUGAGUGGAAUUCCGAGUGUAGAGGUGAAAUUCGUAGAUAUUCGGAAGAACACCAGUGGCGAAGGCGACGCACUGGACAUGUAUUGACGCUGAGGUACGAAAGCGUGGGGAGCAAACAGG
Molecule: ribosomal RNA, 404 nt
Filed under: bacterium
Lineage: Bacteria
Description: partial 16S ribosomal RNA
Rfam family: Bacterial small subunit ribosomal RNA
Source: RNAcentral